UACGGGGGGGGCAAGCGUUGUUCGGAAUUACUGGGCGUAAAGGGCUCGUAGGCGGCCAACUAAGUCGGACGUGAAAUCCCCAGGCUUAACUUGGGAACUGCGUCCGAUACUGGAUGGCUUGAAUCCGGGAGAGGGACGCGGAAUUCCAGGUGUAGCGGUGAAAUGCGUAGAUAUCUGGAGGAACACCGGUGGCGAAGGCGGCAUCCUGGACCGGUAUUGACGCUGAGUGAGCGAAAGCCAGGGGAGCAAACGGG
RNAcentral lists this ribosomal RNA (254 nucleotides) under uncultured bacterium. RNAcentral describes it as "partial 16S ribosomal RNA". It matches the Rfam family "Bacterial small subunit ribosomal RNA", at positions 524 to 776 of the family's 1533-position model. The record is from RNAcentral.